ACUCUGCGGCUGGAUCACCUCCUUAGAGUUUGAUCCUGGCUCAGGAUGAACGCUGGCGGCGUGCUUAACACAUGCAAGUCGAGCGAAGCACCUGGACGGAUUUCUUCGGAUUGAAGUCUGGGCGACUGAGCGGCGGACGGGUGAGUAACGCGUGGGUAACCUGCCUCAUACAGGGGGAUAACAGUUAGAAAUGACUGCUAAUACCGCAUAAGCGCACGAAGGCGCAUGCCUUUGUGUGAAAAACUCCGGUGGUAUGAGAUGGACCCGCGUUAGAUUAGCCAGUUGGCAGGGUAACGGCCUACCAAAGCGACGAUCUAUAGCCGGCCUGAGAGGGCGACCGGCCACAUUGGGACUGAGACACGGCCCAUACUCCUACGGGAGGCAGCAGUGGGGAAUAUUGCACAAUGGGGGAAACCCUGAUGCAGCGACGCCGCGUGAGCGAAGAAGUAUUUCGGUAUGUAAAGCUCUAUCAGCAGGGAAGAAA
This 484-nucleotide ribosomal RNA is filed under the name uncultured bacterium. RNAcentral's name for it is "bacterial SSU rRNA". It matches the Rfam family "Bacterial small subunit ribosomal RNA", at positions 1 to 450 of the family's 1533-position model. The record is from RNAcentral.